UCAAAGGCUCUUUUCAGAGCCGCCCACCUUUAGAAAGGCACCGUAU
Molecule: non-coding RNA, 46 nt
Organism: Myotis davidii
Lineage: Eukaryota; Metazoa; Chordata; Mammalia; Chiroptera; Vespertilionidae
Source: Rfam